This 500-nucleotide ribosomal RNA is filed under the name uncultured bacterium. Its description in RNAcentral is "partial 16S ribosomal RNA". It matches the Rfam family "Bacterial small subunit ribosomal RNA", at positions 30 to 523 of the family's 1533-position model. The record is from RNAcentral.
ACUGAACGCUGGCGGAAUGCUUUACACAUGCAAGUCGAACGGCAGCACGGACUUCGGUCUGGUGGCGAGUGGCGAACGGGUGAGUAAUGUAUCGGAACGUGCCCAGUCGUGGGGGAUAACGUAGUGAAAUUUACGCUAAUACCGCAUACGAUCUAUGGAUGAAAGCGGGGGAUCGCAAGACCUCGCGCGAUUGGAGCGGCCGAUAUCAGAUUAGGUAGUUGGUGGGGUAAAGGCCCACCAAGCCAACGAUCUGUAGCUGGUCUGAGAGGACGACCAGCCACACUGGAACUGAGACACGGUCCAGACUCCUACGGGAGGCAGCAGUGGGGAAUUUUGGACAAUGGGCGAAAGCCUGAUCCAGCCAUUCCGCGUGCAGGAUGAAGGCCCUCGGGUUGUAAACUGCUUUUGUACAGAACGAAAAGGUUUCUACUAAUACUAGGAGCUCAUGACGGUACUGUAAGAAUAAGCACCGGCUAACUACGUGCCAGCCGCCGCGGUAA